ACUGUGGGAAUUGCUGGAGAUACUAUUAGACUUGAGACCGGGAGAGGUUAGAGGUACUCCCAGGGUAGAGGUGAAAUUCUGUAAUCCUGGGAGGACCGCCUGUUGCGAAGGCGUCUAACUGGAACGGUUCUGACGGUGAGGGACGAAAGUUAGGGGCGCGAACCGGAUUAGAUACCCGGGUAGUCCUAACUGUAAACGAUGCGGACUUGGUGUUGGGGUGGCUUUGAGCUGCUCCAGUGCCGAAGGGAAGCUGUUAAGUCCGCCGCCUGGGA
RNAcentral lists this ribosomal RNA (272 nucleotides) under uncultured archaeon. Its description in RNAcentral is "partial 16S ribosomal RNA". It matches the Rfam family "Archaeal small subunit ribosomal RNA", at positions 562 to 833 of the family's 1478-position model. The record is from RNAcentral.